GGCGAGUGAAGCGGCAAAAGCUCAAAUUUGAAAUCUGGCGUCUUCGACGUCCGAGUUGUAAUUUGAAGAAGGCAACUUUGUAGCUGGUCCUUGUCUAUGUUCCUUGGAACAGGACGUCAUAGAGGGUGAGAAUCCCGUGUGGCGAGGAUCCCAGUUAUUUGUAAAGUGCUUUCGACGAGUCGAGUUGUUUGGGAAUGCAGCUCUAAGUGGGUGGUAAAUUCCAUCUAAAGCUAAAUAUUGGCGAGAGACCGAUAGCGAACAAGUACAGUGAUGGAAAGAUGAAAAGAACUUUGAAAAGAGAGUGAAAAAGUACGUGAAAUUGUUGAAAGGGAAGGGCAUUUGAUCAGACAUGGCGUUUGCUUCGGCUUUCGCUGGGCCAGCAUCAGUUUUAGCGGUUGGAUAAAUCCUCGGGAAUGUGGCUCUGCUUCGGUAGAGUGUUAUAGCCCGUGGGAAUACAGCCAGCUGGGACUGAGGAUUGCGACUUUUGUCAAGGA
RNAcentral lists this ribosomal RNA (494 nucleotides) under Kluyveromyces lactis. RNAcentral describes it as "partial large subunit ribosomal RNA". It matches the Rfam family "Eukaryotic large subunit ribosomal RNA", at positions 88 to 592 of the family's 3401-position model. The record is from RNAcentral. Lineage: Eukaryota; Fungi; Ascomycota; Saccharomycetes; Saccharomycetales; Saccharomycetaceae.